GACGAACGCUGGCGGCGUGCUUAACACAUGCAAGUCGAACGGAAAGGCCCUGCUUUUGUGGGGUGCUCGAGGGGCGAACGGGUGAGUAACACGUGAGUAACCUGCCCUUGACUUUGGGAUAACUUCAGGAAACUGGGGCUAAUACCGGAUAGGAGCGCCUGCUGCAUGGGGGGGGUUGGAAAGUUUCGGCGGUUGGGGGUGGAGUCGCGGCUUAUCAGCUUGUUGGGGGGGGAGUGGCUUACCAAGGCUUUGGCGGGUAGCCGGCCUGGGAGGGUGACCGGCCACAUUGGGACCGAGAUACGGCCCAGACUCCUACGGGAGGCAGCAGUGGGGAAUAUUGCACAAUGGGCGGAAGCCUGAUGCAGCAACGCCGCGUGCGGGAUGACGGCCUUCGGGUUGUAAACCGCUUUCGCCUGUGACGAAGCGUGAGUGACGGUAAUGGGUAAAGAAGCACCGGCUAACUACGUG
RNAcentral lists this ribosomal RNA (468 nucleotides) under uncultured bacterium. RNAcentral's name for it is "partial 16S ribosomal RNA". It matches the Rfam family "Bacterial small subunit ribosomal RNA", at positions 28 to 507 of the family's 1533-position model. The record is from RNAcentral.